GAUUAAGUUAUUAAGGGCGCACGGUGGAUGCCUUGGCACUAGAAGCCGAUGAAGGACGUUACUAACGACGAUAUGCUUUGGGGAGCUGUAAGUAAGCUUUGAUCCAGAGAUUUCCGAAUGGGGAAACCCAGCAUGAGUUAUGUCAUGUUAUCGAUAUGUGAAUACAUAGCAUAUCAGAAGGCACACCCGGAGAACUGAAACAUCUUAGUACCCGGAGGAAGAGAAAAUUCGAUUCCCUUAGUAGCGGCGAGCGAAACGGGAAGAGCCCAAACCAACAAGCUUGCUUGUUGGGGUUGUAGGACACUCUAUACGGAGUUACAAAGGACGACAUUAGACGAAUCAUCUGGAAAGAUGAAUCAAAGAAGGUAAUAAUCCUGUAGUCGAAAAUGUUGUCUCUCUUGAGUGGAUCCUGAGUACGACGGAGCACGUGAAAUUCCGUCGGAAUCUGGGAGGACCAUCUCCUAAGGCUAAAUACUCUCUAGUGACCGAUAGUGAACCAGUACCGUGAGGGAAAGGUGAAAAGCACCCCGGAAGGGGAGUGAAAUAGAACCUGAAACCGUGUGCUUACAAAUAGUCAGAGCCCGUUAAUGGGUGAUGGCGUGCCUUUUGUAGAAUGAACCGGCGAGUUACGAUUUGAUGCAAGGUUAAGCAGUAAAUGUGGAGCCGUAGCGAAAGCGAGUCUGAAUAGGGCGUUUAGUACGUGGUCGUAGACCCGAAACCAGGUGAUCUACCCAUGUCCAGGGUGAAGUUCAGGUAACACUGAAUGGAGGCCCGAACCCACGCACGUUGAAAAGUGCGGGGAUGAGGUGUGGGUAGCGGAGAAAUUCCAAUCGAACCUGGAGAUAGCUGGUUCUCCCCGAAAUAGCUUUAGGGCUAGCCUUAAGUGAAGAGUCUUGGAGGUAGAGCACUGAUUGGACUAGGGGUCCUCAUCGGAUUACCGAAUUCAGUCAAACUCCGAAUGCCAAUGACUUAUCCUUAGGAGUCAGACUGCGAGUGAUAAGAUCCGUAGUCAAAAGGGAAACAGCCCAGACCGCCAGCUAAGGUCCCAAAGUGUGUAUUAAGUGGAAAAGGAUGUGGAGUUGCUUAGACAACUAGGAUGUUGGCUUAGAAGCAGCCACCAUUUAAAGAGUGCGUAAUAGCUCACUAGUCGAGUGACACUGCGCCGAAAAUGUACCGGGGCUAAACAUAUUACCGAAGCUGUGGAUUGACCAAUGGAUCAUGGUAGGGGAGCGUUCUAAGGACAUUGAAGUCAGACCGGAAGGACUGGUGGAGUGCUUAGAAGUGAGAAUGCCGGUAUGAGUAUCGAAAGUCGGGUGAGAAUCCCGUCCACCGAAUGACUAAGGUUUCCUGAGGUAGGCUCGUCCUCUCAGGGUUAGUCAGUAACUAAUCCGAGGCAGACAGGCGUAGUCGAUUGACAAAAUGUUUAUAUUCCUUUACCACCUCUUAUCUUUUGAUCAAUGGAGGGACGCAGAAGGAUAGAAGAAGCGUGCGGUUGUGUACCGCAAACCGACACAGGUAGUCAAGAUGAGAAUUCUAAGGUGAGCGAGCGAACUCUCGUUAAGGAACUCGGCAAAAUGACCCCGUAACUUCGGGAGAAGGGGUGCUUUUUAGGGUGCAAGCCUUGAAGAGCCGCAGUGAAUAGGCCCAAGCGACUGUUUAUCAAAAACACAGGUCUCUGCUAAACCGUAAGGUGAUGUAUAGGGGCUGACGCCUGCCCGGUGCUGGAAGGUUAAGAGGAGUGGUUAGCUUCUGCGAAGCUACGAAUCGAAGCCCCAGUAAACGGCGGCCGUAACUAUAACGGUCCUAAGGUAGCGAAAUUCCUUGUCGGGUAAGUUCCGACCCGCACGAAAGGCGUAACGAUUUGGGCACUGUCUCAACGAGAGACUCGGUGAAAUCAUAGUACCUGUGAAGAUGCAGGUUACCCGCGACAGGACGGAAAGACCCCGUGGAGCUUUACUGUAGCCUGAUAUUGAAAUUUGGCACAGCUUGUACAGGAUAGGUAGGAGCCUUUGAAACGUGAGCGCUAGCUUACGUGGAGGCGCUGGUGGGAUACUACCCUGGCUGUGUUGACUUUCUAACCCGCACCAUUUAUCAUGGUGGGAGACAGUGUCAGGCGGGCAGUUUGACUGGGGCGGUCGCCUCCUAAAGAGUAACGGAGGCGCUCAAAGGUUCCCUCAGAAUGGUUGGAAAUCAUUCGCAGAGUGUAAAGGCACAAGGGAGCUUGACUGCGAGACCUACAAGUCGAGCAGGGUCGAAAGACGGACUUAGUGAUCCGGUGGUUCCGCAUGGAAGGGCCAUCGCUCAACGGAUAAAAGCUACCCCGGGGAUAACAGGCUUAUCUCCCCCAAGAGUCCACAUCGACGGGGAGGUUUGGCACCUCGAUGUCGGCUCAUCGCAUCCUGGGGCUGUAGUCGGUCCCAAGGGUUGGGCUGUUCGCCCAUUAAAGCGGUACGCGAGCUGGGUUCAGAACGUCGUGAGACAGUUCGGUCCCUAUCCGUCGUGGGCGUAGGAAAUUUGAGAGGAGCUGUCCUUAGUACGAGAGGACCGGGAUGGACGCACCGCUGGUGUACCAGUUGUUCUGCCAAGGGCAUAGCUGGGUAGCUAUGUGCGGAAGGGAUAAGUGCUGAAAGCAUCUAAGCAUGAAGCCCCCCUCAAGAUGAGAUUUCCCAUCGUAAGCUAUAAGAUCCCUGAAAGAUGAUCAGGUUGAUAGGUUCGAGGUGGAAGCAUGGUGACAUGUGGAGCUGACGAAUACUAAUAGAUCGAGGACUUAACCAA
This 2775-nucleotide ribosomal RNA is filed under the name Staphylococcus aureus. Its description in RNAcentral is "23S ribosomal RNA". It matches the Rfam family "Bacterial large subunit ribosomal RNA". Lineage: Bacteria; Bacillati; Bacillota; Bacilli; Caryophanales; Staphylococcaceae. The record is from RNAcentral.